AGCUCAGUAACACGUGGCUAACCUACCCUUGGGACGGGAACACCCCCGGGAAACCACGCACAGACCUUGACCACAUAAACACAAAUUCUCAAAAAAUCCAAAAACCCCAUAACAUAAACAAACACUUCACUACACCGCCUUGCCGAUUUCUAAGCUGGCAAAGGCUAUCUCAAACUAACCAAAACCUACACGCAACUUUCUAAGAAUAGAAACUUAAGGCUCUGGCGUAGCCCAAAACUGGGGUUAAUUCCCGAUGGGUGAGGAGGCCUGGAAUGGUUCUUCACUGAAAGGGCGCUAGAGGCAUGCUCUCUAACGUUGCCCAAGGAUGGGGCCGCGGCCGAUCAGGUUGUUGGUGAGGUAACGGCUUACCAAGCCUAUAACCGGUACGGGCCGUGAGAGCGGAAGCCCGGAGAUGGGCACUGAGAUAAGGGCCCAGGCCCUACGGGGCGCAGCAGUUGCGAAAACUCCGCAAUGCACGAAAGUGUGACGGGGCUACCCCGAGUGCCGUCCGCUGAGGAUGGCUUUUCUCCGCUGUAAGGAGGCGGAGGAAUAAGGAGAGGGCAAGACUGGUGUCAGCCGCCGCGGUAAUACCAGCUCUCCGAGUGGUAGGGGUGAUUAUUGGGCUUAAAGCGUCCGUAGCCGGCCUGGCAAGUCUUCCGUUAAAUCCAGCAACCUAAUUGUUGGGCUGCGGGGGAUACUGUUAGGCUUGGGGGCGGGAGAGGCCGACGGUAUUCUCGGGGUAGGGGUGAAAUCUUAUAAUCCCGGGAGGACCACCAGUGG
This 780-nucleotide ribosomal RNA is filed under the name uncultured archaeon. Its description in RNAcentral is "bacterial SSU rRNA". It matches the Rfam family "Archaeal small subunit ribosomal RNA", at positions 87 to 666 of the family's 1478-position model. The record is from RNAcentral.